Molecule: ribosomal RNA, 422 nt
Filed under: uncultured Capnocytophaga sp.
Lineage: Bacteria; Pseudomonadati; Bacteroidota; Flavobacteriia; Flavobacteriales; Flavobacteriaceae
Description: bacterial SSU rRNA
Rfam family: Bacterial small subunit ribosomal RNA
Source: RNAcentral
UGAGGAAUAUUGGUCAAUGGUCGGAAGACUGAACCAGCCAUGCCGCGUGCAGGAAGAAUGCCUUAUGGGUUGUAAACUGCUUUUAUAUAGGGAGAAUAAGGAGUACGUGUACUCUGAUGACGGUACUAUAUGAAUAAGCAUCGGCUAACUCCGUGCCAGCAGCCGCGGUAAUACGGAGGAUGCGAGCGUUAUUCGGAAUCAUUGGGUUUAAAGGGUCUGUAGGCGGGCUAUUAAGUCAGGGGUGAAAUCUUACAGCUUAACUGUGAAAUUGCCUUUGAUACUGGUAGUCUUGAAUAUUUGUGAAGUUUUUGGAAUGUGUAGUGUAGCGGUGAAAUGCUUAGAUAUUACACAGAACACCGAUUGCGAAGGCAGGAGACUAACAAAUGAUUGACGCUGAGAGACGAGAGCGUGGGGAGCGAACA